UUCCAGCUAACGCCAUUUUAUCUAAAUAUAGUAACCAACCGGAAGGCAGCAGGCAUCCAUGUUAUCACGUUUGUGAAAGAAGACCGUAGCUUAGGGUAGAGGUCUGAAAUUAAAAUUAACAGUUUACAAGAGUGAAAUAUCAACAAAAAGAUUAUCCAUAUUAAGGUGCUGUACUGGAGGGAUAAGGAAAGAAAAGAAAGUGACGUUUAUGAUUUGACUGAAAGGGAGAUUAACACAGACAUAAAAGAG
Molecule: long non-coding RNA, 249 nt
Organism: Saccostrea echinata
Lineage: Eukaryota; Metazoa; Mollusca; Bivalvia; Ostreida; Ostreidae
Exons: 3
Source: RefSeq, a predicted model, not a curated record